This is a long non-coding RNA of Oncorhynchus keta (chum salmon), 341 nucleotides long. RefSeq lists it as uncharacterized. The transcript has 3 exons. Lineage: Eukaryota; Metazoa; Chordata; Actinopteri; Salmoniformes; Salmonidae. The record is from RefSeq and is a predicted model, not a curated record.
GGUGUUAAGGGGUUUAGAGCCAGGGGGGAACAGAUGAAGAGGUGUUAAGGGGUUUAGAGCCAGGGGGAACAGAUGAAGAGGUGUUAAGGGGUCUAGAGCCAGGGGGAACAGAUGAAGAGGUGUUAAGGGGUCUAGAGCCAGGGGGAACAGAUGAAGAGGUGUUAAGGGGUCUAGAGCCAGGGGGAACAGAUGAAGAGGUGUUAAGGGGUCUAGAGCCAGGGGGAACAGAUGAAGAGGUGUUAAGGGGUCUAGAGCCAGGGGGAACAGAUGAAGAGGUGUUAAGGGGUCUAGAGCCAGGGGGAACAGAUGAAGAGGUGUUAAGGGGUUUAGAGCCAGGGGGA